RNAcentral lists this ribosomal RNA (253 nucleotides) under uncultured bacterium. RNAcentral describes it as "partial 16S ribosomal RNA". It matches the Rfam family "Bacterial small subunit ribosomal RNA", at positions 524 to 776 of the family's 1533-position model. The record is from RNAcentral.
UACAGAGGGGGCAAGCGUUGUUCGGAAUUACUGGGCGUAAAGGGCGCGUAGGCGGCCUGCUAAGUCGAACGUGAAAUCCCCGGACUCAACCCGGGAACUGCGUCCGAUACUGGGAGGCUUGAAUCCGGGAGAGGGAUGUGGAAUUCCAGGUGUAGCGGUGAAAUGCGUAGAUAUCUGGAGGAACACCGGUGGCGAAGGCGGCAUCCUGGACCGGUAUUGACGCUGAUGCGCGAAAGCCAGGGGAGCAAACGGG